GUAGUUAGCCGGGGCUUCCUCCUUGACUACCGUCACUUUCUUCGUUGCCAAGGACAGAGGUUUACAACCCGAAAGCCUUCUUCCCUCACGCGGCGUUGCUGGGUCAGGCUUGCGCCCAUUGCCCAAUAUUCCCCACUGCUGCCUCCCGCAGGAGUCUGGACCGUAUCUCAGUUCCAGUGUGGCCGAUCAGCCUCUCAGCUCGGCUACCCAUCGUCGACUUGGUGGGCUGUUACUCCGCCAACUAUCUAAUGGGACGCGAACCCCUCUUAUACCGGAUUGCUCCUUUGACCUCAUCCCGAUGCCGAGUCGUGGUCUUAUGCGGUAUUAGCAACCGUUUCCGGUUGUUAUCCCCCUGUACAAGGCAGGUUGUUCACGCGUUACUCACCCGUUCGCCACUAAGUUAUCAACCGAAAUCAAUAACUCCGUUCGACUUGCAUGUGUUAGGCACGCCGCCACGCGUCGUCUCGAGCACGAUACAACUACUCGA
Molecule: ribosomal RNA, 487 nt
Filed under: uncultured bacterium
Lineage: Bacteria
Description: partial 16S ribosomal RNA
Source: RNAcentral